Molecule: ribosomal RNA, 2839 nt
Filed under: Acinetobacter baumannii 26016_8
Lineage: Bacteria; Pseudomonadati; Pseudomonadota; Gammaproteobacteria; Moraxellales; Moraxellaceae
Description: bacterial LSU rRNA
Rfam family: Bacterial large subunit ribosomal RNA
Source: RNAcentral
UCAAGUAAUUAAGUGCAUGUGGUGGAUGCCUUGGCAGUCAGAGGCGAUGAAAGACGUGAUAGCCUGCGAAAAGCUCCGGGGAGGCGGCAAAUAUCCUUUGAUCCGGAGAUGUCUGAAUGGGGGAACCCACCUACUUUAAGGUAGGUAUUGCAACAUGAAUACAUAGUGUUGCAAGGCGAACGAGGGGAAGUGAAACAUCUCAGUACCCUUAGGAAAAGAAAUCAAUUGAGAUUCCCUCAGUAGCGGCGAGCGAACGGGGAUCAGCCCAUUAAGUUAUGUGUGUUUUAGUGGAACGCUCUGGGAAGUGCGAACGUAGAGGGUGAUAUUCCCGUACACGAAAGGGCACACAUAAUGAUGACGAGUAGGGCGAGGCACGUGAAACCUUGUCUGAAUAUGGGGGGACCAUCCUCCAAGGCUAAAUACUCCUGACUGACCGAUAGUGAACCAGUACCGUGAGGGAAAGGCGAAAAGAACCCCUGUGAGGGGAGUGAAAUAGAUCCUGAAACCGCAUGCAUACAAGCAGUGGGAGCACCUUCGUGGUGUGACUGCGUACCUUUUGUAUAAUGGGUCAGCGACUUAUAUUCAGUAGCGAGGUUAACCGUAUAGGGGAGCCGUAGAGAAAUCGAGUCUUAAUAGGGCGUUUAGUUGCUGGGUAUAGACCCGAAACCAGGCGAUCUAUCCAUGAGCAGGUUGAAGGUUGGGUAACACUAACUGGAGGACCGAACCCACUGUCGUUGAAAAGCCAGGGGAUGACUUGUGGAUAGGGGUGAAAGGCUAAUCAAGCCUGGUGAUAGCUGGUUCUCCCCGAAAGCUAUUUAGGUAGCGCCUCGGACGAAUACCAUAGGGGGUAGAGCACUGUUUCGGCUAGGGGGUCAUCCCGACUUACCAAACCGAUGCAAACUCCGAAUACCUAUGAGUACUAUCCGGGAGACAGACUGCGGGUGCUAACGUCCGUAGUCAAGAGGAAAACAAUCCAGACCGCCAGCUAAGGCCCCAAAAUCAUAGUUAAGUGGGAAACGAUGUGGGAAGGCAUAGACAGCUAGGAGGUUGGCUUAGAAGCAGCCACCCUUUAAAGAAAGCGUAAUAGCUCACUAGUCGAGUCGGCCUGCGCGGAAGAUGUAACGGGGCUAAAACUAUGUGCCGAAGCUGCGGAUGUAUACUUUGUAUACGUGGUAGGGGAGCGUUCUGUAAGCCGAUGAAGGUGUGUUGAGAAGCAUGCUGGAGGUAUCAGAAGUGCGAAUGCUGACGUGAGUAACGACAAAACGGGUGAAAAACCCGUUCGCCGAAAGACCAAGGGUUCCAGUCCAACGUUAAUCGGGGCUGGGUGAGUCGACCCCUAAGGCGAGGCCGAAAGGCGUAGUCGAUGGGAAAAUGGUUAAUAUUCCAUUACUUCUGUGUAAUGCGAUGAGAGGACGGAGAAGGCUAAAUCAGCCUGGCGUUGGUUGUCCAGGUGAAAGGAUGUAGGCAUGUAUCUUAGGCAAAUCCGGGGUACUCUAUGCUGAGAUCUGAUAGCAAGCUGUACUUGUACAGCGAAGUGGUUGAUGCCAUGCUUCCAGGAAAAGUCUCUAAGCUUCAGUUACACAGGAAUCGUACCCGAAACCGACACAGGUGGUCAGGUCGAGUAGACCAAGGCGCUUGAGAGAACUCUGCUGAAGGAACUAGGCAAAAUGGUACCGUAACUUCGGGAGAAGGUACGCUGUUGUUGGUGAUGGAACUCGCUUCCUGAGCUGACGACAGCCGCAGAAACCAGGCCGCUGCAACUGUUUAUUAAAAACAUAGCACUCUGCAAACACGAAAGUGGACGUAUAGGGUGUGAUGCCUGCCCGGUGCUGGAAGGUUAAUUGAUGGGGUUAGCGUAAGCGAAGCUCUUGAUCGAAGCCCCAGUAAACGGCGGCCGUAACUAUAACGGUCCUAAGGUAGCGAAAUUCCUUGUCGGGUAAGUUCCGACCUGCACGAAUGGCAUAAUGAUGGCGGCGCUGUCUCCAGCAGAGGCUCAGUGAAAUCGAAAUCGCUGUGAAGAUGCAGUGUACCCGCGGCUAGACGGAAAGACCCCGUGAACCUUUACUGCAGCUUGACACUGAACUUUGACCUUACUUGUGUAGGAUAGGUGGGAGGCUUUGAAGCUGGAACGCUAGUUCCAGUGGAGCCGUCCUUGAAAUACCACCCUGGUAAUGUUGAGGUUCUAACUCUGUCCCGUGAUCCGGGACGAGGACCGUGUCUGGUGGGUAGUUUGACUGGGGCGGUCUCCUCCUAAAGAGUAACGGAGGAGUACGAAGGUGCGCUCAGCGUGGUCGGAAAUCACGCGUAGAGUAUAAAGGCAAAAGCGCGCUUAACUGCGAGACCCACAAGUCGAGCAGGUACGAAAGUAGGUCUUAGUGAUCCGGUGGUUCUGUAUGGAAGGGCCAUCGCUCAACGGAUAAAAGGUACUCUGGGGAUAACAGGCUGAUACCGCCCAAGAGUUCAUAUCGACGGCGGUGUUUGGCACCUCGAUGUCGGCUCAUCUCAUCCUGGGGCUGAAGCAGGUCCCAAGGGUAUGGCUGUUCGCCAUUUAAAGAGGUACGCGAGCUGGGUUUAGAACGUCGUGAGACAGUUCGGUCCCUAUCUACCGUGGGCGCUGGAAAUUUGAGAGGAUCUGCUCCUAGUACGAGAGGACCAGAGUGGACGAACCUCUGGUGUACCGGUUGUGACGCCAGUCGCAUCGCCGGGUAGCUAUGUUCGGAAGGGAUAACCGCUGAAAGCAUCUAAGCGGGAAGCCUACCUCAAGAUAAGAUUUCCCUAGGACUUUAUGUCCUCUAAAGAGCCGUUCGAGACUAGGACGUUGAUAGGUUGGAUGUGGAAG